This 393-nucleotide ribosomal RNA is filed under the name uncultured bacterium. Its description in RNAcentral is "partial 16S ribosomal RNA". It matches the Rfam family "Bacterial small subunit ribosomal RNA", at positions 523 to 918 of the family's 1533-position model. The record is from RNAcentral.
AUACGGAGGAUGCGAGCGUUAUCCGGAUUUGUUGGGUUUAAAGGGUGCGUAGGCUGUGCGUUAAGUCAGGGGUGAAAUGCCGUCGCUCAACGACGGAGCUGCCCUUGAUACUGGCGUGCUGGAGUACGGAUGCCGUUGGAGGAAUGAGGGGUGUAGCGGUGAAAUGCUUAGAUAUCACUCAGAACACCGAUUGCGAAGGCAUCUGACGAAUCCGUCACUGACGCUGAGGCACGAAAGCGUGGGGAUAGAACAGGGUUAGAUACCCUGGUAUUCCACGCCGUAAACGAUGAUGACUAACCGUCGGCGAUAGACAGCCGGUGGCCAAGCGAAAGCGAUAAGUCAUCCACCUGGGGAGUACGUCGGCAACGAUGAAACUCAAAGGAAUUGGCGGGG